ACGAACGCUGGCGGCGUGCUUAACACAUGCAAGUCGAACGGAAAGGCCCUGCUUUUGUGGGGUGCUCGAGUGGCGAACGGGUGAGUAACACGUGAGUAACCUGCCCUUGACUUUGGGAUAACUUCAGGAAACUGGGGCUAAUACCGGAUAGGAGCUCCUGCUGCAUGGUGGGGGUUGGAAAGUUUCGGCGGUUGGGGAUGGACUCGCGGCUUAUCAGCUUGUUGGUGGGGUAGUGGCUUACCAAGGCUUUGACGGGUAGCCGGCCUGAGAGGGUGACCAGCCACAUUGGGACUGAGAUACGGCCCAGACUCCUACGGGAGGCAGCAGUGGGGAAUAUUGCACAAUGGGCGGAAGCCUGAUGCAGCAACGCCGCGUGCGGGAUGACGGCCUUCGGGUUGUAAACCGCUUUCGCCUGUGACGAAGCGUGAGUGACGGUAAUGGGUAAAGAAGCACCGGCUAACUACGUG
Molecule: ribosomal RNA, 467 nt
Filed under: uncultured bacterium
Lineage: Bacteria
Description: partial 16S ribosomal RNA
Rfam family: Bacterial small subunit ribosomal RNA
Source: RNAcentral